Molecule: microRNA, 22 nt
Filed under: Gorilla gorilla (western gorilla)
Lineage: Eukaryota; Metazoa; Chordata; Mammalia; Primates; Hominidae
Also listed under: 2 other names
Description: ggo-miR-641
Gene: ggo-miR-641
Source: miRBase by way of RNAcentral
AAAGACAUAGGAUAGAGUCACC